This 585-nucleotide ribosomal RNA is filed under the name Cassena indica. RNAcentral describes it as "eukaryotic LSU rRNA". It matches the Rfam family "Eukaryotic large subunit ribosomal RNA", at positions 451 to 781 of the family's 3401-position model. Lineage: Eukaryota; Metazoa; Arthropoda; Insecta; Coleoptera; Chrysomelidae. The record is from RNAcentral.
AAAGAGGAAAUUCAUUCGCGUUUCGGCCGUCGAAGAGAAACGUUUGUAUGACGGAAGGCAUUUCGGUGUCGUCUGCGUCUUAUGUUUUUCGAAUCGAUGUCGAACGCGUGCACUUUUCCUCUAGUAGGACGUCGCGAUCCGUUGGGUGUCUGUCUAAGACUCGAGGUGGAGCCCACGUGAUAUUUGAUUGCGUGGACCCUCGAUGUUCCGACAGACUCGCUCGACGGUAUAUUAAUGGCGCGAGGCCGCUAUUUUAAUUAGCGUUCGGCCCGUAUCAAGCGCGUUCUGUGUUUGACGGUAAUCGGACCUAGUGCCGAUUCUGUCCCAGGACGACUGUUGGUUACGGUGUUCUCGAACAGACCUCGUAUAUGAAACGCCGAUCGGCGACGCUAUAGAUUUGGGUACUUUCAGGACCCGUCUUGAAACACGGACCAAGGAGUCUAGCAUGUGCGCGAGUCAUUGGGAUACAACUAAACCUAAAGGCGUAAUGAAAGUAAAGGUUUACCUUGCGUAGACCGAGGGAGGAUGAGCGGCUUGCCCUUAAAAGUGACCGCUUCGCACUCCCGGGGCGUCUCGUUCUCAUUG